This 3213-nucleotide long non-coding RNA is filed under the name Phoenix dactylifera (date palm). RNAcentral describes it as "long non-coding RNA (PDAC_LNC004458)". The record is from RNAcentral. Lineage: Eukaryota; Viridiplantae; Streptophyta; Magnoliopsida; Arecales; Arecaceae.
CCAAAUCCAAAGCCUGCAUUUUUCUCGGUUAUUCACCGACUCAAAAUGCCUACAAGUGUUUUGAACCACAAACAAAAAAUUCUUCAUCUCACGCCACGUGUUGUUUGAUGAAAAUCAACAACACUCCAGCCCGUCUCAACCCGUGUCUUCUGUGCCAACCCAAAACAUUCGAGAAUCUCACCAAUUUCUUCCCCUCCUCUUCAGUGCCCAACAGACUGCAGUGUCUUCAUCAACAUUGUCCGGCACGCCAGCAUCAUCGCUACCUUCGGAAGGCUCCCCUGCCAUUGUUGCAUCCUCCCCAGGUACCUUCGGACCCUCUAUUUCUUUACUUCAUGAUUGUUUGCAAGCCAUAGAUCCCAACACCACCCAUCUGAAUCCUCCUCUAGAUGACAAUCGGCAUGUUUCUUCUUUAAAUUUGCAAUCACCAUUUAAUGAUUUUUCUACUGAUACACAUCUAGGUUCAGAUCAUAAUCUCCCAAAUCCGGAUUUAACAAACCCUACCCAAAGAAAUAAUCCUCCCCAAUGCACUCAUAACAUGACCACAAGAUCAAUGAACCAAAUUUUCAAACCCAAACAAAUCCAUACCGUGUCCAAAUAUCCUCUUCCCCAGACCAUAGAACCAACGAGUGUGAGCCAAGCCAUUUCUCAACCUCACUAGCGUGAGGCCAUGUCCAAUGAGCUCACUGCUCUAAUGAAACAUGGGACUUGGGACCUAGUUUUACCACCUUCAAACUGUAAACCCAUGGGCUGUAACUGGGUAUUUCGAGUAAAAAGGAAUGCUGAUGGGUCAGUGGACAGAUUCAAAGCCCAUCUAGUUGCUAAGGGUUACAAUCAACAUUCUGGUGUUGAUUACAAAGAAAUCUUUAGCCUUGUGAUUAAGCCAGCAACUAUUAGAGCUGUAUUAUCUAUUGUAGUCAUGAAUGGAUGGGAAUUGAGGCAAAUGGAUGUCAACAAUGCCUUUCUAAAUGGUGAAUUAAUUGAGACUUUUUUUAUGGCGCAACCCCUGGGGUUCAAAGAUUUGUCCAAACCUAACCAUGUUUGCAGGUUAAAAAAGACGAUCUAUGGGCUCAAACAAGCCCCCCGGGCUUGAUACACAGCACUCAAAAAUGCUAUUCUUCGGUUGGGUUUUCACAAUUCGAAGGCAGACUCCUCUCUCUUCAUUUAUAGUCAAGGAUCAAAUCUUUGUUAUUUUCUGGUUUAUGUUGUUGAUCUUGUCAUUACCGGAAAUAAUUUAACUCUUGUGGCCAACAUUAUUAAGCAGCUGGGUAACGUGUUUUCUCUCAAGGAUACGAGUUCUCUUCAUUUUUUCUUGGGGAUUGAAGUAAUUCCUACUCGGGCAGGAUUAUUUCUCUCACAACAUUAAUAUGUUCGUGAACUUUUACCAAAACAAGUAUGAGUGGUGCGAAAGAUGUCUCAACACCUCUCUCUACAACUCAAUCUCUACAAUUAGUUGAUGGCACUGCUGCUGUGGACAGCUCAGAGUUUCGUAGAAUCAUUGGCAGCCUUCAGUUCCUUUCCUUGACACGUCCAGAUAUCUCAUUUGCAGUCAACAAACUCUCUCAAUUUAUGCAUAAGCCGACUACAAAUCACUGGACAGCAACCAAAAGGCUCCUACACUACUUAAAACAAACUAUUUUUUAUGGUAUUCAAAUCCACAAAGCUGGAACUCCGGUAUUAAGAACAUACUCCGAUGCUGAUUGGGCUGGAAAUGUGGAUGACCGCACGUCAACCUCUGCAUAUAUCAGUUUUUUGGGAUCUAACCCCAUUUCUUGGAGCUCCAAGAAACAAAGAGCAGUUGCACGAUCCACAACAGAGGCUGAAUACCGGGCACUAGCUAAUGCGGCUUCCGAGACAAUGUGGUUGUCCGCUCUUUUCAAAGAACUCGCAUUUCCAGUCAAAGAAUCUCCCCAGCCGUUAUGUGACAAUCUCGGAGCCACACAUCUCAGUUUUAACCCAAUCAAUCAUUCGCGCAUGAAACACAUUCAAAUCGACCUUCACUUUGUACAUGACUUAGUGCAAAAAGAAAGCCUCCAAGUUAGACAUGUACAUAUUCAAGACCAACUAGCUAAUCUAUUAACAAAACCACUGUCAAAACAGCGCACGGAAUUGCUACGUAACAAGAUUAGUCUUGCCGAUGGAAGCUCAAUCUUGCGGGGGCGUAUAAGGGAAGCAUGCAUGGAUUCUACUCAAAUCAAAACAAAGCAUGUCUAGCCUAAAAUCAUGUCAAAUAUUCUGUCAUUAAUUCUAUAUUUAGAGCUUACAAGGGAAGCAUGCGUGGAUUCUACUCAAAUCAAAACAGAGCAUGUCUAGCCUAAAAUCAUGUCAAAUAUUCUGUCAUUAAUUCUAUAUUUGGAGUUGAUUCUAAAUUUGAAUUCUACAGCUGUAUAUUGUAACAGUAGCACAAUUUUAACUUUACUGUUUACAUAUUUCCUAAAUUAGCUUCUCUACCGCUUUGUAUAUAACAUAGUAUUUCUAUCAAUAAAAAGUGUGGGAAAUUAUUCAUUGAAAUCACAGCAAUAUCCACUUUCUUACACCGCUAACGCUGCUCCCACUUGCAAAACGUCGGCGUCGGAGGUGCCAAGGCCACCGGUUUGCCGGUUGUGGAACAUGGACUCUGAGUGGAGUGGUGUAGGUGGAGGACGAAGGGCCGAUGAACGACGUGAGGAGAUCGAGCCAUGACUGUUUGCAUGCGCCGAUAGGCUCCAAUGGGUGUUGAUGGCAGUCCCGGCGCUCAUCACGGAGACAGAUGGGAUGGUGCUCAUCCUAUUCUUGCACUCCUCUUGGAGGGCCAUCAACUUGCUUAAUUCAUGAAGCCUUAGUCCUGGAACCAUGGCCAUGGAAAUAUGUUGCUCCAUAAGUUCAAGGAGAUUAGUGAGAGGAUAGAAAACAAGCCAAUCUUUUGCAUCUCUCGUGGUUCAUCAUCCUGUUGCUGUGUAGAUGAUUUUGUUCUUCUCUUUUCCCCUUUAAUCGGUAUUAGAAUUUAUUGUCUGUAAUAUAAAUGGCAGUGUUUACAUGGGCCAUAAUUCUGAUGUUUCGCCAUGCCUCCACAAUUCCUCGACUCCCCCAUCCUUUCUCUAAGUCUCUGACACUCAUCAUUAUGACCAUUGAUUAUGGGUCGAAGCUAAACCUUUACAGAAGGUUGGUCAUGAGGAAGUAAGACAAUUUAUCAGGGCUAACUUGAUAUAUUGAUUAAUCUUCUUGAACCUAUAGCAA